RNAcentral lists this long non-coding RNA (1215 nucleotides) under Piliocolobus tephrosceles (Ugandan red Colobus). Its description in RNAcentral is "lncRNA (ENSPTEG00000000172.1)". The record is from RNAcentral. Lineage: Eukaryota; Metazoa; Chordata; Mammalia; Primates; Cercopithecidae.
AUGAAAAGCAGAUUAAAGGGAUGCAUAUGGAAUGAACUGAGACCCCUGAGUUACAACAGAACUACGGAAGUUGUCCACAGUACCGUUCCAAGAAUAGCCAGUGUCCAUAACAGAGGAGGCUCGCUCAUCUUCAGAAGGAGGAAAAGCAUCUGGGUGGCCAUGGCAGGUACCAGGUCAUGUGGAUCCAGAGUGACAGGAACGUGUGGUAAGAAACGUGCUUACCUUUCCAGAGCCAAAAACUCUUCCUUCAGUGGCUGAGUGCUGAUGAAAUGUUUACAAACCAUUCAGCCGUACCCUCUGCCUCUGGAAGGUUCCCUCCUUCCCCCUGUGGUAGACGUGCAGGCAGGAGGGCUCUCGGUGCGUGGGGAUGCAAAGCAGGAGCCUGGCAUGCGUGUCGCUUCCCCUCCCUGUGCCUCGCUGCCCUCCAGGCGUUAUUUGGAGGAUCCCAGCUGUACUCCUGGUUCCUAGAACAAGGCCUGGCAAACAGACACCAGUGAGUACCCUUUAGAUGAGCACAUGGGGAGACAGAAGUAUGAAGCUACUGGCCAGGCACGGUGGCUCACACCUGUAAUCCCAGCACUUUGGGAGGCCAAGGCGGGUGGAUAACGAGGUCAGGAGAUCGAGACCAUCCUGGCUAACAUGGUGAAACCCCGUCUCCACUAAAAACACAAAAAAUUAGCUGGGCGUGGUGGCAGGUGCCUGUAGUCCCAGCUACUCGGGAGGCUGAGGCAGGAGAAUGGUGUGAACCUGGGAGGCAGAGCUUGCAGUGAGCUGUGAUCGCACCACUGCACUCCAGCCUGGGCGACAGAGUGAGGCUCCGUCUCAAAAAAAAAAAAGUGGGAAGCUACUGAAAACGGGUCCACAGGAACGCAGGUCUGGUAAUCAGGUUACAGUUAAACACCCCAAGUGCGAUAUGAGCCUCAAUAUACUUCCUCCCUCGGGCAUUUUCAGGAAUGAAGGAGCACCAAUUAUGAGCAGUGCACAGAGAAGUCCAGCCCUUCACGGCUUGGGGUGGUCCUUGGUGCCCCUGUACCGGAAGUGGUGCGUGCCAGCUCUGCAGGACUUUAGCAACCCCCACCCCAAGUCUUCAUCCGCUUCCCUAGGCCUUCAUAUGAACAUAGCUGGUUAGCAUUUAACUGUGGAGAAGAAGAGCGUUAGAGAUGUGAAGGCUUCCACGUACAUUAAGAAGAAAUCCCAGCUCUGGCAGAGGUGAUC